CGCUGGCGGCGUGCCUAACACAUGCAAGUCGAGCGAGGAGAUCCUUCGGGAUGAUCCUAGCGGCGGACGGGUGAGUAACACGUGGGCAACCUGCCUCAUAGAGAGGAAUAGCCUUCCGAAAGGGAGAUUAAUACCUCAUAACAUUGCAGUUUCGCAUGAAACAGCAAUUAAAGGAGCAAUCCGCUAUGAGAUGGGCCCGCGGCGCAUUAGCUAGUUGGUGAGGUAACGGCUCACCAAGGCGACGAUGCGUAGCCGACCUGAGAGGGUGAUCGGCCACAUUGGGACUGAGACACGGCCCAGACUCCUACGGGAGGCAGCAGUGGGGAAUAUUGCACAAUGGGGGAAACCCUGAUGCAGCCAACGCCGCGUGAGUGAUGACGGCCUUCGGGUUGUAAAGCUCUGUCUUCAGGGACGAUAAUGACGGUACCUGAGGAGGAAGCCACGGCUAACUACGUGCCAGCAGCAGC
This 467-nucleotide ribosomal RNA is filed under the name uncultured bacterium. RNAcentral's name for it is "bacterial SSU rRNA". It matches the Rfam family "Bacterial small subunit ribosomal RNA", at positions 34 to 518 of the family's 1533-position model. The record is from RNAcentral.